Herpailurus yagouaroundi (jaguarundi) is the source of this 3795-nucleotide long non-coding RNA. RefSeq lists it as uncharacterized. The transcript has 2 exons. The record is from RefSeq and is a predicted model, not a curated record. Lineage: Eukaryota; Metazoa; Chordata; Mammalia; Carnivora; Felidae.
GUAGUUUAAAAUAAUAGUGAAAUACAUUGUCUUAUAAAAAGAAAAAGUCAAAAGUCAGACCAAAUUUGUUAGGGAAGAAGUGUAUUUAGAGCUCUAACUAAGAAUUCAAGAAAUGAAACAGCAGUUAUAGUCCCAGUUCUGGAGGAGCUGCAUUCCUUCUGUGACUCAACACGUGUAUAUUGAGUAACUAAACGUUGAGGUCAAGAUCAGGGUUGAUGCCUGCCCUCAAGGAGCUUACUAUGUCUAAAAAGGGAAACAAAUGUGUAAGCUGAUGAGUAAGUCAAUACUUCAGAGUGAUGUAUAGGAGGCUGCAUGUCUCAAUGGAAAAUGUCUUGGCUUUGUAGUCAGCACACCAGAGUUCAAACUCAGAUGGUCACUUACAACAAGUUUUUGUUUUUGUUUUUUUAAUUCUUGUUUUUAACUCCCUGUGGUAGAAUUGUUUUUCUUAUUUCUAAGAUAGGGAUUCUGUCUUAUGGAGUAGUUUUGUGGAUUAGAAGGACCAUACAUAAAUAUAUGGAUGUUAUUAUUUUUUGUAAAAGUUUAGGAGAUUAAAAGAGAAUAGUGGGAGAGCGGAUGAGUGAAAGUUUUUUAGAAUGGGUGAUACCUGAAUAUUUAAGAUUGGUAGGUAACUCCCAGGUGGAUGAGAGGAAUGAAACAGCUUGGAAAGUUGGGACCUACUAAUAGUUUGUUAUGGAGCAAGGAGAGUUUCUGCCUAGGUUCUCAAACUUAGGUAUGCAUUAGAAAUAUUGUGGAGAUUACAAAUACUGCUAGGUCGAAUCUCUAGGUAAUAUUCAGUAGGCCUGAGGUGGAACUCGGGCAUUUCUAUUUUUAGUAAGGUCAACAGGAGACUUUAACCUAUAUCACAGUUUGAGACUCACUGCUGAAGUUUACUGUUUUCUGAUAGGGUAUUCCUGAAACACAUUUGACAUGUUAAUAUGUUUCCCUUCAAUCUUGGAUGUAUAUUUUGUGAGUUAAGAUUAAAUUAAAACGAAGUUGGGUUUUUUUGUUGUUGUUUUACUACAGAUUUUCUCUAACCUGUUAAGAUAUCAGUGUGUAUUUCAUAGAUGUAAGAGAGAUACAGUUGAGGAAGUAUUGCACUAGUUAGUGGGGGAACCACAAGAUCAGAUACGACUUUUAGAAAGUUUGGGAGAAAGGUGAAAGCACCAAAGAAGGCAGAUUGAAGGUAGUAACAGUGGAGACAAAGGAGAUCAGGUAGGUAUAUUUACAGCAGUCCACAUAAGAUAUGAUGAGGACCUGAAUUAAGGCAUUGCUGGUGGGAAUUCCAGGACAUUUAAAAAGUCUCUAGUAGGAUUUCAUUCCCCUUAGAUAUAGCAGGUGAGGGAUGAGAAUUGGGUUAAAGACAGGUGUAACCACCAGCAGAAAAAGGAUGCAGAAACAUACAUACUUCACUAAAUGGAAAUAUGUCUGUAUAUUAAACUCUAGAUUGGUGAUUGGUUUCAUGGAAGAAGUGAAUCUUAAGUAAAUCUAUUUUGCCACAGUUUAAAAAAUAGAUUUUGUGAAAGUUGAGGUUUCAUUUGAGUUAUAUGUGAUAUGUCAAUAUAUGUUAUAUACUUUUACCUAAAUAGUUCUGAUGCAGUUCAUUAGUUGGUAGUAUUUUCUUAAAACAGUUAAGAAGAGUUAAAAACAAGAUCAGGUCUUGUUUUGUAGUUAGUUUUGUUGUUUUUCAUGUACUGCGAUUUAGCUUACUUUCUCUAGAGUAUAUGCCAUCUUGCCAAGUGGAGUUUAAUAUAUAUAGUGCUGAAUAAGAAAUUAAGGAUUGGGAAAAAUAAAACCUCAUACUACCUUUCUACAACCAUCUGUGGUCCAAAUGGAUUAAGUUGGUAAUGUUGACUGAUGCUUUUCUCUGACACAUUCAACGAGUUUGUUUAUUUCAAGAUUUAGUGGUGCAUAAAAAACCAUUUUUAUUAACCAUCUUUAAUCUUUAUUUCUUUUGAUUCCUGAGCACUUGUUUUAACCUACUUAUAUUCUUUCAUUAGAUUUCUUAUUUUCUCACCCUAUAUAUAAUUAUGGAAGAUUAGACCUUAUACCUACGUGUCUUCUAUGAUUUUUAUAAUAUCUAGCAUACAGAUCACUGAAUACUUAUUAAUUAUAGUUGCUAACUCAUUUAUUCCCUACGAGCUGAUUCAGCAUUUCUCAUUGCUUGAUCACGUUGUUAAAAUCUUCAAUUUCUGAUGCAAGUUUUAUCUGGAUUUAAAUCUUCCUUUAUAAGAACAAUGUGGUUUAAGUCAGCUGCUGAACUAAUAUAGGUGGUAAGAGUAGCUGUCCAACUGUUACUUUGUUUCUGUUCUAAAUUCUUAAAUAGGUUUACAGGGAGAGGUGCCUAGAUGGAUCAUUGUUUUGAUGAAGGCCUGAGUUAAGACAGCAUUGCUGGGAAGUUAGGGCCGAGAAUGUAUUUCACCUUGAGUAUGGAAAGAGAAAAAAGGUUAACAUUUGGGAUUUGGAAUAUGCAAAACUGAAAGGGCAACCUUGUAUAGAGGAAAAAGGUGAGUAUAAAAGUGUCUUGUCUGGUAGACUAUAAGUAUAGGAGGAGAUUUAGAAGAAUACAGCAUAUCUGGGCUAUAAAUCCCUUAUUUCUUGUUAUUCUUAGCUUAUAAUAUAGGGAAAUUUCUCAACCAGUAAGAGCCUUAGUGUUUAGAUUUGUAAGAUGGGCUUGCUUAAGGGUUUCAGAGAAUAAUGCUAUAAUGUAUGUAGAGUGUUCUGGCUGUUUGGAGAAGCAUGUGAAAAAAUGGUGUAAAGAUUUUUAAAACGUUUUUAGUUUAAGUGUUAUAUUUAACAGUUAUAGUGAACUAACUUGGUUAUUUUACAGACUGAUUCAAAGUUGAGGUUUAAAAGAGUAGAUCGAGUUGGGCUUCAUUAUAAAUUAGUCUCUUUAGGACUUUAUAGAACCCAGCAUUAGUAUAGAGGUCACUUUCACUGUAAAGAUGGGAAGCAAAACAAGUUCAUACAUUCUUGUCCACAGUAAGAUAUAUCGUUAACUGUAAAUACAACUCUUAAUUGGUGUGUGACUGAACAAUCUAAUAUUUUUAAGUGGUUAAGUAUUGUUUAGUAAUUAGGAAACGUUUAGUAUACUUAACUCUGUUCGUAUAUAUAGUAUAACAGAAAUAUAUCCUGUUUCUAUCUAUUGUAUCUGUCAGUAUUAUAAAAUUAGUGGAGGAUUAGUGACUAUAAUAUCAAUAUAGGAGAGUGAGAUUAUUUAGACAAUGUUAAUUUCACUUUGCAGUUUAUGUGUUAUGUCGGAAUUGUGACCCUUUUUUAAAGAGACCAAAUAAUUGGGUGUAGAGUAAUGUUGAAGAGGCGUUUUUAGAAAAAAACCCUUUAGAAAAUAGAAUCAAUUGAAAGAUGUGUAGUAACUUCAUAGUUCAAUUACUAUGGCUUUCUGAUAGUUUACUUAGUUUCUCAGUAUCCUUGACUCAGGGGUUCCUCUGCUAUAGUGAUUUUUUAAACUUAUUUUUAACUUGUCCUGAAGAUUUAGUAUAGAAAUAUGUCUUUGUAAAAGGAGAACUCAUUAAAUACCAGAUAAAUUGAAACAAAAUGGAAAUAUGAAAGACAUCUAGGAAUAUAAACUGCUGUUAAAGAUGAUAUGAGAUCAGAAAUUAUCAUAAGCCAAGCACACAGUAAUCUUUGGACAGUGAAAUGUUUUUCAAGUUUCAUUUUACAGUUAAACCCUUAUAUUAGAUUUGGAGAAGCUAAAACUAUGUAGUAUUUUUAAGUAUUAAAAUAGAGGUGAAAUUGUGUAUUUAUCAUGUCUUUGGUUCCAAAAUAAAAAAAUUUAAG